RNAcentral lists this ribosomal RNA (253 nucleotides) under uncultured bacterium. RNAcentral's name for it is "partial 16S ribosomal RNA". It matches the Rfam family "Bacterial small subunit ribosomal RNA", at positions 524 to 776 of the family's 1533-position model. The record is from RNAcentral.
GACGAACCGUGCGACCGUUAUUCGGAAUCACUGGGCUUAAAGGGCGCGUAGGCGGGCCGAAAAGCCAGGGGUGAAAUCCUCCAGCCCAACUGGAGAAGCGCCUUUGGAACUGGCGGCCUCGAGGGGUGCAGGGGCAUGCGGAACUCAGGGUGGAGCGGUGAAAUGCGUAGAUAUCCUGAGGAACACCGGUGGCGAAAGCGGCGUGCUGGACACCUUCUGACGCUGAGGCGCGAAAGCCAGGGGAGCGAACGGG